GAGUUUGAUCCUGGCUCAGAAUCAACGCUGGCGGCGUGCCUAACACAUGCAAGUCGAACGCGAAAGGGGCUUCGGCCCUGAGUAGAGUGGCGUCCGGGUGAGUAACGCGUGGGUAAUCUACCUUCGGGUGGGGAAUAACCCAGGGAAACUUGGGCUAAUACCGCAUAAUGCAGCGGCUCGACAUCGAGACAGUUGUUAAAGCUCUUCGCAAGAAGGGCGCCUGAAGAGGAGCCUGCGUCCGAUUAGCUGGUUGGCGGGGUAACGGCCCACCAAGGCUACGAUCGGUAGCUGGUCUGAGAGGACGGCCAGCCACAAUGGAACUGAGACACGGUCCAGACUCCUACGGGAGGCAGCAGUGGGGAAUAUUGGACAAUGGGCGCAAGCCUGAUCCAGCCAUGCCGCGUGUGUGAAGAAGGCCUUCGGGUUGUAAAGCACUUUUGUCCGGGAAGAAAAGCCAGGGAUUAAUACCCCCGGGUUCUGACGGUACCGGAAGAAUAAGCACCGGCUAACUUCGUGCCAGCAGCCGCGGUAAUACGAAGGGUGCAAGCGUUACUCGGAAUUACUGGGCGUAAAGCGUGCGUAGGUGGUUCGUUAAGUCUGCCGUGAAAGCCCCGGGCUCAACCUGGGAAUGGCGGUGGAUACUGGCGGACUAGAGUGCGGUAGAGGGUGGUGGAAUUCCCGGUGUAGCAGUGAAAUGCGUAGAGAUCGGGAGGAACAUCUGUGGCGAAGCGGCCACCUGGACCAGCACUGACACUGAGGCACGAAAGCGUGGGGAGCAAACAGGAUUAGAUACCCUGGUA
RNAcentral lists this ribosomal RNA (800 nucleotides) under uncultured bacterium. RNAcentral describes it as "bacterial SSU rRNA". It matches the Rfam family "Bacterial small subunit ribosomal RNA", at positions 9 to 792 of the family's 1533-position model. The record is from RNAcentral.